UGCUUUGCACAGUGGCAGUAUCAUAGCCAAUGAGGUUUAUCCGAGACAAGAUUACUUUUCCCAAUACCCUGCUAUGACGACUUGAAAUAGUCCCCAUUGGCAAUUUUUGACAGUCUCUACGGAGA
This is a small nuclear RNA of Cricetulus griseus (Chinese hamster), 125 nucleotides long. Its record names the gene U4. It matches the Rfam family "U4 spliceosomal RNA". From Rfam's summary of the family: U4 small nuclear RNA (U4 snRNA) is a component of the major U2-dependent spliceosome. The structure of U4 snRNA from yeast and human has been reported. The record is from Ensembl. Lineage: Eukaryota; Metazoa; Chordata; Mammalia; Rodentia; Cricetidae.